UACGUAGGGUGCGAGCGUUGUCCGGAUUUAUUGGGCGUAAAGGGCUCGUAGGUGGUUUGUUGCGUCGGAAGUGAAAACCUGCAGCUUAACUGUGGGCUUGCUUUCGAUACGGGCAGACUUGAGGAAGGUAGGGGAGAACGGAAUUCCUGGUGGAGCGGUGGAAUGCGCAGAUAUCAGGAGGAACACCGGUGGCGAAGGCGGUUCUCUGGACCUUUCCUGACGCUGAGGAGCGAAAGCGUGGGGAGCAAACAGG
This 253-nucleotide ribosomal RNA is filed under the name uncultured bacterium. RNAcentral's name for it is "partial 16S ribosomal RNA". It matches the Rfam family "Bacterial small subunit ribosomal RNA", at positions 524 to 776 of the family's 1533-position model. The record is from RNAcentral.